UUCAAGCAAAGGGCCAGUCCGAUUGGGCCAACCAGACUUUAAUCUGACAAGCUUCUCCAACAGUUCCUUGAAUCGGGCCAGCUCACGUGGGCCAAAUGAUCCCCAUCUGAUUAAUAGACCUCCAUCGGAUGCAUUUGGUUCGAUGGUCACGGGCUUUGAACUCUGGCCCGUGACACUAGUGCCCUCCUUGGCUAUCUAAUGUACUCGAAGCUUUUAAUGAUGUAGUGGCCGGGUAAAGUUGAAGCACAAGGGAACCCCAC
RNAcentral lists this long non-coding RNA (260 nucleotides) under Gossypium barbadense (sea-island cotton). RNAcentral describes it as "long non-coding RNA (GBAR_LNC017935)". The record is from RNAcentral. Lineage: Eukaryota; Viridiplantae; Streptophyta; Magnoliopsida; Malvales; Malvaceae.